GCUCUGGCGUUUAUGUCGGCUAUCUUGGGCGGCGAGGGUCCCAGCGGAGAAUCUUGGCCGUAGGGACGUCACCUCUGGUGUCUCUCCCCGCGGCAGCACCUCGCCCAGAACCCUGAAUAUCUUCGACCGGGAUUUGAAAAGGAAACAGAAGAACUGGGCGGCCCGGCAGCCCGAGCCGACGAAGUUUGACUACCUGAAGGAGGAGGUUGGAAGUCGGAUCGCAGACCGUGUAUAUGACAUACCCAGAAAUUUCCCCCUUGCUUUGGAUCUUGGUUGUGGAAGAGGUUACAUUGCACAAUAUUUGAAUAAGGAAACUAUUGGAAAGUUUUUCCAAGCCGACAUUGCAGAAAAUGCUUUGAAAAAUUCCUUAGAAACAGAAAUACCUACUGUCAGUGUUUUAGCUGAUGAAGAAUUCCUUCCCUUCAGAGAAAAUACAUUUGACCUGGUGGUUAGCAGUUUAAGUUUGCAUUGGGUGAAUGACCUUCCUAGAGCACUUGAACAGGACACUGAUGAAAUUCAAGUUAACUAUCCUGGAAUGUUUGAAUUGAUGGA
RNAcentral lists this small RNA (552 nucleotides) under Pongo abelii (Sumatran orangutan). RNAcentral's name for it is "processed transcript". The record is from RNAcentral. Lineage: Eukaryota; Metazoa; Chordata; Mammalia; Primates; Hominidae.